GGGGUGCGGACAGUGUCUGGUGGGUAGUUUGACUGGGGCGGUCUCCUCCCAAAGAGUAACGGAGGAGCACGAAGGUUGGCUAAGCAUGGUCGGACAUCAUGCGGUUAGUGCAAAGGCAUAAGCCAGCUUGACUGCGAGAGUGACGGCUCGAGCAGGUACGAAAGUAGGUCUUAGUGAUCCGGUGGUUCUGAAUGGAAGGGCCAUCGCUCAACGGAUAAAAGGUACUCCGGGGAUAACAGGCUGAUACCGCCCAAGAGUUCAUAUCGACGGCGGUGUUUGGCACCUCGAUGUCGGCUCAUCACAUCCUGGGGCUGAAGUAGGUCCCAAGGGUACGGCUGUUCGCCGUUUAAAGUGGUACGCGAGCUGGGUUUAGAACGUCGUGAGACAGUUCGGUCCCUAUCUGCCGUGGGCGUUGGAAGAUUGAAAGGGGCUGCUCCUAGUACGAGAGGACCGGAGUGGACGCACCACUGGUGUUCGGGUUGUCAUGCCAAUGGCAUUGCCCGGUAGCUAAGUGCGGAAGAGAUAACCGCUGAAAGCAUCUAAGCGGGAAACUUGCCUUGAGAUGAGUCUUCCCUGACUCUUUAAGAGUCCUAAAGGAACGUUUAAGACUAAGACGUUGAUAGGUUGGGUGUGUAAGCGUAGCGAUACGUUGAGCUAACCAAUACUAAUGAACCGUGAGGCUUAACCUG
This 689-nucleotide ribosomal RNA is filed under the name Providencia rettgeri. Its description in RNAcentral is "partial 23S ribosomal RNA". It matches the Rfam family "Bacterial large subunit ribosomal RNA", at positions 2242 to 2925 of the family's 2925-position model. The record is from RNAcentral. Lineage: Bacteria; Pseudomonadati; Pseudomonadota; Gammaproteobacteria; Enterobacterales; Morganellaceae. RNAcentral also lists the same sequence under 1 other name.